CCCCCACUUAGCCCCACCUCUCCCUGUCCCCCACCACUUAGCCCCACCUCUCCUUGUCGACCCCCCCAUUUAGCCCCACCUCUCCUGGUCUUACUUCCCAAUCAGUCCUUUCCAGAACAGGUCCGUACAACAGCGGGACUGCAAGGUGUGUGUGUGUGUGUGUGUGUGUGUGUGUGUGUGGGAUCUCAAGGGCGAGUUUUACACAGGUGUGUGAGACACUACUGCGUCUUCGUCUAGCGAGGCCGUCCUUCCAAAUGUCACGGAAACCUGGGCUUCUGAGGCCGACUGGAUCUCAAUGUUAUUACAUGUCUGUCGGUAAUGACGCCACUGUCUGAACCAGUAGGGGACUUUAACAGGGCUCGUACUCACAAAGCCUCUCAGUGGUCGUGCUGAUCUAGGAUCAGGUCCCCUCUUAUUCAUUAUGAUCUAGGAUCAGGGCCCCUCUUAUUCAUUAUGAUCUAGGAUCAGGUCCCUCCCCUCUUAUUCAUUAUGAUCUAGGAUCAGGUCCCCUCUUAUUCAUUAUGAUCUAGGAUCAGGUCCCCUCUUAUUCAUUAUGAUCUAGGAUCAGGUCACCUCUUAUUCAUUAUGAUCUAGGAUCAGGUCACCUCUUAUUCAUUAUGAUCUAGGAUCAGGUCCCCUCUUAUUCAUUAUGAUCUAGGAUCAGGUACCCUCUUAUUCAUUAUGAUCUAGGAUCAGUUCCCCUCUUAUUCGUUAUGAUCUAGGAUCAGGUACCCUCUUAUUCGUUAUGAUCUAGGAUCAGGUCCCCUCUUAUUCAUUAUGAUCUAGGAUCAGGUACCCUCUUAUUCAUUAUGAUCUAGGAUCAGGUACCCUCUUAUUCAUUAUGAUCUAGGAUCAGGUACCCUCUUAUUCAUUAUGAUCUAGGAUCAGGUCCCCUCUUAUUCAUUAUGAUCUAGGAUCAGGUACCCUCUUAUUCAUUAUGAUCUAGGAUCAGGUACCCUCUUAUUCAUUAUGAUCUAGGAUCAGGUACCCUCUUAUUCAUUAUGAUCUAGGAUCAGGUACCCUCUUAUUCAUUAUGAUUUAGGAUCAGGUCCCCUCUUAUUCAUUAUGAUUUAGGAUCAGGUCCCCUCUUACUCAUUAUGAUCAGUAGUAGUGCUGAUCUAGGAUCAGGUCCCCUCUUAUUCGUGCUGAUCUAGGAUCAGGUCCCCUCUUAUUCGUGCUGAUCUAGGAUCAGGUCCCUCUUAUCCAUUAUAACCUAAAGCUGAUGCUAGAUCAGCACACCUGUUCUGAGAUGCUUUGUGAACACGGCCCUGAUAUCUUAGAGCUGUGAUGUGGUGGCCAACUCUUGUCCUGGGGAGCUACGCUCCUGCAGGGAUUUGUUCCGGCCCAACAGUCAUCUUUGUUUUUCUGCUAUCCUCUCGUUUUGAGAAAGUGUAAAUAAAUAAAUACCUUUAUUUCAUCAGA
Molecule: long non-coding RNA, 1422 nt
Organism: Oncorhynchus keta (chum salmon)
Lineage: Eukaryota; Metazoa; Chordata; Actinopteri; Salmoniformes; Salmonidae
Exons: 2
Source: RefSeq, a predicted model, not a curated record